This 253-nucleotide ribosomal RNA is filed under the name uncultured bacterium. RNAcentral describes it as "partial 16S ribosomal RNA". It matches the Rfam family "Bacterial small subunit ribosomal RNA", at positions 524 to 776 of the family's 1533-position model. The record is from RNAcentral.
GACGAACCGAGCGAACGUUAUUCGGAAUCACUGGGCUUAAAGGGUGCGUAGGCGGGCCCGUCAGUCAGGGGUGAAAUCCCACGGCUCAACCUUGGAACUGCCUUUGAUACUGGGGAUCUCGAGUCCGGAAGAGGUUGGUGGAACUGCGAGUGUAGAGGUGAAAUUCGUAGAUAUUCGCAAGAACACCAGUGGCGAAGGCGGCCAACUGGUCCGGUACUGACGCUGAGGUGCGAAAGCGUGGGGAGCAAACAGG